GGGGAAUUUUGGACAAUGGGGGCAACCCUGAUCCAGCCGUUCCGCGUGAGUGAAGAAGGCCUUCGGGUUGUAAAGCUCUUUCGGCAGGAACGAAACGGUAAUCCCUAAUACGGGUUGCUAAUGACGGUACCUGCAUAAGAAGCACCGGUUAACUACGUGCCAGCAGCCGCGGUAAUACGUAGGGUGCGAGCGUUAAUCGGAAUUACUGGGCGUAAAGCGUGCGCAGGCGGUUUCGUAAGACAGAUGUGAAAGCCCCGGGCUCAACCUGGGAAUGGCGUUUGUGACUGCGAGACUAGAGUAAGGCAGAGGGGGGUGGAAUUCCGCGUGUAGCAGUGAAAUGCGUAGAUAUGCGGAGGAACACCGAUGGCGAAGGCAGCCCCCUGGGCUAUUACUGACGCUCAUGCACGAAAGCGUGGGGAGCAAAC
Molecule: ribosomal RNA, 425 nt
Filed under: uncultured bacterium
Lineage: Bacteria
Description: bacterial SSU rRNA
Rfam family: Bacterial small subunit ribosomal RNA
Source: RNAcentral